Long non-coding RNA from Balaenoptera acutorostrata (minke whale), 881 nucleotides. RefSeq lists it as uncharacterized. Lineage: Eukaryota; Metazoa; Chordata; Mammalia; Artiodactyla; Balaenopteridae. The record is from RefSeq and is a predicted model, not a curated record. The transcript has 3 exons.
GGGAGGGGAGGGGAGGGGCGGGCGAUCCAGGUGUCUGGAGUCAGCCGCGCUUUACAGGGCCAGUUAGACUGUUUCCACUAUUCUCUCUUACAUCAAGUGAGCACAGGACUCGUCCACUUGUGAAUGUGAAGGAAAAUAUCUCUACCAAGAGCUUGUGCAGCUUCAACUUUACAAGCUCCCUCCCUAAUCAACUUCGGGCUUGACCAAGAGACUCAUGAAUCACACAAGCACGGGAGGGUACGCGCUUGUGCACUGGGGCUUGCCCUCUUGGAACACUGUCCUGGACCAGUGUCUAGUCUACUGGAGGUUGGGAGGUCACAAGAAGAACUGAGACUCCCUGCCCAGCACCAACUGCCAGACUUGUGAAUGAGGCCAACUUGGAAUAAAUUUCCAGCUGUUCCAACCAUCUGUAGUAGCCCAAGUGAGCCAGAAAAAGAACUUUGCAAUCAACUAACAGAAUCAAGAGAAACAAUAAAUCAAUAUUUUUUGCCUCUACGUUUUGCGAUGAAUUUUUAUGCAAUCAGUAAAUAACUGAAACAAUGUCCUUUUACUGUGUUCAAGUUUAACCUUAUAAAGGCGGGCUAAGAUAGAAUUAUGAACAACGCUUAGAUGUUUUACUUUGUAAAUUGCUCUGUGGGAGAUAGAAAAAAUUUUACACCUGGAAAGGAAGGGCUUAUUUUGAUCUAUUGGUAAAGUAAACUUCAAUACAAGUUAAAAUCUACCAGAAUUUUUUCCAAUUUGAAAAUUGUUGGAUCAUGCUAUUAUAAAUACUAUGGUAUAUGUUAUAAAUUUCUUCAAGAUAUUAUCCUCAUAAAAGUAAUGGAUUCUCACUGAAGAAAAAUGGAAAAGACUGGAAAUUGUAAAAAUAAAAAGUAAAAUAA